Molecule: ribosomal RNA, 2210 nt
Filed under: Diderma niveum
Lineage: Eukaryota; Evosea; Eumycetozoa; Physariida; Didymiaceae
Description: partial 26S ribosomal RNA
Rfam family: Eukaryotic large subunit ribosomal RNA (bases 1-1294)
Source: RNAcentral
GAUGUUAAAAUGGCGAAAUCCAACCAAGCUCGGGUAAACGGCGGGAGUAACUAUGACUCUCUUAACGUAGCCAAAUGCCUCGUCAUCAUACGAAAAACAAGUGUACCAAAAACGCGUUCGCAAACCGGGGUUUACUCGGGUUAGUAGGGCCUUCGGGCUCGAAGGCCAGGGUCGAUACCGGAAGUGACCAGCCGAAGACUGAAAGGGGCCCAGGAUCAUACGGCAAGUCGAGAGACGAGCUAGAUUCCGGGACUCUGACGGGCAAGUAGGCCGCACCAAAUUGCACUGAGGACCCUUUCGGGGGGCCGAUGGGCAGCCAACCCGGAAGCGAGGAUUCUUCGGAUAUUCUUGCCAAGGGAGGUUAGAGACUAUACGGUGCUAGGAAAGGGAGUGCUGGGGAAGUCAUGAGCCCCAGCCAGUCCACCGAGGAGAGAUAGUCCGUCAUAGGGUAUGGAGAGCUUGGAGCGAGUGGUCCGUAAGGUCUGGGAUCCUGUAUUUAACUAUACGGGUGAAACUACCUAAGCGUCGGCCAGAGGCACCGGUUGCUCACGCCAUACCCGACAAACAGACGUUAAUUUGUGACGCGCAUGAAUGGAUUAAUGAGAUUCCCACUGUCCCUACCUACUAUCUAGCGAAACCACAGCCAAGGGAACGGGCUUGGCACAAUUAGCGGGGAAAGAGACCCUGUUGAGCUUGACUCUAGGCACAGAAGCGAGGUGAUUCUAAAGGUGUAGCAUAGGUGGGAGGGCCUGGCCCGACCUUGAAAUACCACCACUUUCGACAUCGCUUUGCUAAUGCUGUAACGAACGAACGGCCCCCGGAAGUUGCCUAACGGUAGUUUUCGGUAAGGUCAUAUUCUAGCGCUUUCCUUGCGGGAUACGGUAACUUGGCUCCUCUGGUGAGUACCUUGGAUCCACAAACUGGGCUUCCGGGUCUGGUGCGUGCUGCUUCUGGGGGAACUAGGGAUGGUCGGGCUGCCCUCUGUCCUGCAAAAUCGGGUACGUAAGCCGUGUAGCAGACACUCUGUGUUGGGGAGUUUGGCUGGGGCGGAAAACUGCUACACGGCAACGGCAGUCUCCUAAGGUCCACUCAGAGACGACAGAAACGUCUCGUAGAGCAUAAAGGCAAAAGUGGGCUUAACUUACAUUUUCAGUAGUAAUGUGAAGCAAGAAAUUGAGGCUUAACGAUCCUUAGCAGCGGGUGCCAGCCCAUGCUUGAGGUGAGAGAAAAGUUACCACAGGGAUUGAUCAAAACGCGUAGCUUUGGGGGGUUUAGCCUUGGUUCCGGAUGGGGUCGAUAAGGUUGACGAGCCUGAUCCCUGAAAGUCUCGGGUUAUUCUCCUUACGACUGGGUUUGUAGUAGCGAUCUCACUUAACUGCGGGAUUUCAAGGCAUCUCUGCUCUGGGUUCCAAUCCAAUACGAGGAGUUAGGGGAAAGGGCGGCUUUGCAGGCUGUCCGCUCUCCGUCCUGGGUCCAACAAGCGCACUGCAAAAAGGCGUGUACGGACCCGGGGAUUCCACGGCAGUCUACAUUCGAGGGUAAGCGCAGGUUUCCUCGGAUACAGGCGACACACCUGGUUGCUGGGACGACCCAUCCCAAACGGCGGCGGUACCAAGCGUUCCCCAGUGAAUCUGGGGCGUGGAGUGUUCAUUGCUCUCUUCGGAGGCCGGUGGAUACGGCUAAUAAUCCGACGUCGGGGUUUACCAGCAGGCGACAAGGUCUACCCAAAGGGGCUAACUGGGGGAGAGCAGGCAUCCGUGCCAGCCGAUCCCGACUUGCCCUAUGGAACGGUGACUAAGCGUCUCAACGACUGGAAAGGUGUGGGCAUUGAUGGUUCGAAGCCAAGUGAAGUCCCGGGGUUUUCCUCGGUUCAGAGCUAGGUGAUAGGGUCUGCUGGUGCUUAAGGUACAGUCUACUCCCACCCGCAAGGGUGUCUCGGACCACCAAGCCCGUGGGGACUCCCUUUUAUUAGGGAAGAUCCUCGGGUUGAUCCACUACUGCAGGAUCAGGUUCAGGAGGGCAGGGCUCGUCAGAGGCUCUUAUCCGUUAGCGUAGGUUCCCGGUAUCCCGUGGUAUUUCAACCCGGGGGACCACAUGGGUUCCGAGAGGAUAGGGGAAGAGGCGGGUCAGGUCUGGUACUGGGAACUGGCUUGUGGCCGCCAAGCGUUCAUAGCGACGUGGCUUUUUGAUCCUUCGAUGUCGGCUCUUCC